Non-coding RNA from Cucumis sativus (cucumber), 128 nucleotides. The record is from Rfam. Lineage: Eukaryota; Viridiplantae; Streptophyta; Magnoliopsida; Cucurbitales; Cucurbitaceae.
AAAAAAGCAGGGUUCUGUUUCCUUUUGUGAAUGGGGUCCUCGUUAAGUUCAGGGAAAAUGAAUGCAUUGUUAUUGGGUGAACCUCUGUAAAGUUAGUUGCUAAAGGUUCAGUAAAUGAUGCUACAUGA